GAUGAAGAACGCAGCGACAUGCGAUAAGUAAUGUGAAUUGCAGAAUUCAGUGAAUCAUCGAGUUUUUGAACGCAUAUUGCGCCCUCUGGUAUUCCGGGGGGCAUGCCUGUUCGAGCGUCAUUAAAUAACCCUCAAGCAUAGCUUGGUGUUGGGCUUUUUUACGUCCUUGACUGGGAUGGGCCUAAAAAUUAGUGGCGAUGGCUUUUUUACUUUCAAGCGUAGUAAAUCUCGUCUUGCUAAAGAGGAAAAAGAUUUUUUUUCUGCCAAAAAUUUUAACAUUUAAAGUUGACCUCGGAUCAGGUAGGAUUACCCGCUGAACUUAAGCAUAUCAAUAAGCGGAGGA
This 343-nucleotide unclassified non-coding RNA is filed under the name soil metagenome. RNAcentral describes it as "partial contains 5.8S ribosomal RNA, internal transcribed spacer 2, and large subunit ribosomal RNA". The stretch from base 1 to 120 matches the Rfam family "5.8S ribosomal RNA", at positions 35 to 154 of the family's 154-position model. The record is from RNAcentral.